AGAUAAUGAGCUUGAUAAGCUUAUAUUUUGAAAAUAUAAGAAAGAAUGAAAAUUUCUAUUAUCUU
RNAcentral lists this transfer RNA (65 nucleotides) under Agonita chinensis. Its description in RNAcentral is "tRNA-Ser". The record is from RNAcentral. Lineage: Eukaryota; Metazoa; Arthropoda; Insecta; Coleoptera; Chrysomelidae.